CCUACGGGAGGCAGCAGUGAGGAAUAUUGGUCAAUGGGCGCUAGCCUGAACCAGCCAAGUAGCGUGAAGGAUGACUGCCCUAUGGGUUGUCAACUUCUUUUAUAUGGGAAUAAAGUGUAGUAUGUAUACUGCUUUGCAUGUACCUUAUGAAUAAGGCUCGGCUAACUCCGUGCCAGCAGCCGCGGUAAUACGGAGGAUCCGAGCGUUAUCCGGAUUUAUUGGGUUUAAAGGGAGCGUAGGUGGGUUUUUAAGUCAGUGGUGAAAGUUUGCGGCUCAACCGUAAAAUUGCAAUUGAUACUGGCAGCCUUGAGUACAGUUGAGGGAGGCGGAAUGCGUGGUGUAGCGGUGAAAUGCUUAGACAUCACGAAGAACUCCGAUUGCGAAGGCAGCCUACUAAGCUGCCACUGACAUUGAUGCACGAAAGUGUGGGGAUCAAACAGGAUUAGAUACCCUUGUAGUC
This 460-nucleotide ribosomal RNA is filed under the name uncultured bacterium. RNAcentral describes it as "partial 16S ribosomal RNA". It matches the Rfam family "Bacterial small subunit ribosomal RNA", at positions 338 to 795 of the family's 1533-position model. The record is from RNAcentral.